CCCUGCCUCCCCAUGAGGUGUUCAAUCACUAGUUUAGGCCAUGACUUAGCAUUUCCACUACAGUGAAACUGGUCAAAAACCAGGCCCAGUGCUGCCUAUGACCAGAAAUCACACCCAAGAAAGUGAUGCUUGCUGCCUACACUGUCCCAACCUUCACGCUGUUAGAAACGCUCUCCAAGGCUUUCAGGAGCUACAUGGUUGCAGAGCAGCUGUUUUUCUGAUGGUGUUCGUACCAUAACUUGCCCAGAGCUGGAAAAUAGACCUCUUCUAAAAACUCCAAAUGGCUUUUACAGAUCUCUAACCUUCUACGAAGUUUUGCACUAUCCCAAAUUUCUAAUGUUUACAUGAGCAACAUGGUGAGUUUAUUGGCCAAUACUGACAGAAUGCAGUGGGGUUUCACUCUGUGAACUCUGUUUAGUGGGAGAAUGACACUGUCAGACCCCUAAGAUACACUUCCAAUACUGCGAAACUUCUUCAGUAUCUCUACAUCUUUGCAAAUCAACUUCAUACCGAUAUUCCUCUUCAUUAUGUUUUCCUCUCCACUCACUCAGCAACAACAUAAAACAUCCCAUACCUUUGCAUACAUUGCUUACUCAGAGCCUGAAUUUUGUGUAAGCAGUGUACACAUACUGUGCUUCCUUUGCCUACUUUUCUUUGUGAUGGAAGAUUUUCUACACAGGCAUUCAGUAUCUCAACCAUUCACCAUUCAUAAUUUUCAGAUCCCUUGUAAUAUGUAAAUAAAAUUGCAGGAUUGCUCCCAUAAACACAGUAGGAAAGAUGGUUUAAAGUAACUGAAGGUCUAAGCUGAGUAAUCCUCACUUGUACAGAUAGCUGCACCAUCUGAAAUUUUGAAGGUUCUAAGACAGUGUUGAGUAUUUCCAAAGUAGAUCUGGUACUUUCUGCAAAAUUGAACUCACAGCAAAAAAUGCAUUGCCAAAAAUGCCUUGAAUUAAUCUAAAAUAAAUAGUGGCACCAAAAAAUUGUCACAGAGGCCAGUGAAACUUGAAGUUUGAGCUCAUUUCUGCCCAGUAAUAAGCAAAGCUGAUCAACCCCAAAUAUUAAACUCAUGAGUAACAGUCCAUGUUAAGAACUAAUGAUGUCAUGUCAGUAUAUGUUGCAGCACUUAUUUCAUAUUUAGUAAUUGUACAGAGACCAAUGACAGUUGCCUGAACUUUGUAGUUCAGUAUUCUCCACCUCCAGCAAUUUCAGGCGGCUUAAAGCAGACCUUAUAAAGGAAGAUUAAAAACUCAAGAUUACUGCAUCAAAUAAGUCUAGUGUAGUAGUAAUAAUCAAGAUUGUACUGCACAACUGCAAAAUAAUGUAAAAUAAAGCUUCAUCUCAGCCUUAAAAAUUGUAUUUUAAAUUAUGAGACCUGAUCCGAAAAUAAUGCCUCCUAUUUAAUUAUGUUGUCCCACAACAACAGAUGCGGGUGUUGGUGGUACAGCACUAGAGGCUGAACCUUCCCAGCAAUAUUCCAUUACAUUUGGUCCUGGCUGCAGACCCAGUGCCAGUGCUGGUCUGGCUGCUGGCUGAGCCCUGGCUUCUUCCAGCUUGCAGGUGAGCCAUGCCCUCAUCUCCCAGCUCCCACUCAGCCUCUCCUUUCCACAAGCCCAGCACAGCUCCCCAUGGCCUCACCCCGACCCCAUCUCCUCUACAGCUGUGACAGCAGAGCCUCCUCAAGUCUUGAGCACAGCAGGCACAGGGCAGUCCUGCACGCAGA
Numida meleagris (helmeted guineafowl) is the source of this 1720-nucleotide long non-coding RNA. RefSeq lists it as uncharacterized. The record is from RefSeq and is a predicted model, not a curated record. The transcript is spliced from 3 exons. Lineage: Eukaryota; Metazoa; Chordata; Aves; Galliformes; Numididae.